CGCGUCGUCUCCUCGCCUGGGCGUGGGAGGCGGUCGUCCCGGCGCUGGUGGCCUCGCAGGGUCACGGGAAGCGGACGGUCCCGCCCGGUGGCCGCAGCCGAAUCGGCCGAGCGCGCCUGCGGUGGGUGGGGGCGGGGCCGGGGCGGGGAGACCCGCCACGCGCGAAGGGAGCCAGGAAGCCCGUGCGGCUGCGGCCUGCUCGACCCUUGGCGGGACGGUGCCUCUGGGCUGGGGGUUCCCGGACCAGAGGUCUGGAAGCAAGCGCAGAGCGGCCGCGGACACCCUUCCCUGUCCCCUCCUCCCGCCACCGUCACAUGCCUGCGACGUACGUGUGCGCGGAGAAACGCGACCAUACCUUUGCACGGGCACCGAUCCGCACGCAGUCAUUCCGGCCCUCCCCACCUCCCGCUGGGCCCUUAGGGCCGCGACCUCACCGAGGCCGCCGGCUGUGCGGGGUUCAGCCUGUUGCCCCUGGCACUCCUCUCGGGGGGGGGGGAGGCUUCCAGGAUUUGAUUGAGGGGAACUGGACUGUAGGGCCCCCAAAUCCUUCCCGUGUGACAGUGUGAGGGCCUGGUGUCCUCUUUCUCCUGUUGGAUACGGGUCUGCUAGGCUGUGAGAACACGAGCCACUUACAUGAAAUGGUUUUCUCUGCUGCCGGCUGGGGCCUUAUGUGGUUAGCAGAACCAACCCGUGAGUGAGGUGCAACGUGGAAGGCUGAGAAGUGAAGGAGGGGUGUCAGUCGCGUCAGGGCUGUCCGGCCGUGAGUUCCAUGAAGAUGGAACAGGCAGGGGGCAGGUCGCUGGUGCCUGCGGCAACCGGUGUGUUCAUGGAGGGGGGCGGGCAGUGCGAGGCGAAGAAGUAGAGACUGUGAGUGUAGACCGCUGCUCCUGGGACCUCUGCUAUGCAGAGGUUUAGACAAGUUGGCAGGUGCUGGAGACACGUGCGGGCUCAGGGGCUGGGGGGGGGGGGGGUUCUUUGCCCCUGCAGUGAGGAGUGUACAGGUGUGGCUUUCUGAAAGCGAGACCAUCUACUCACAGGGGAGGGGAGUAGAGCUGCCUGAGCAAGAGCAGACGGAGUGAGGUCCUCCAGUGAAGGACUGUGCUUGGCCCAGAGCACAGCUGAGGGCAGGUGGCCACGCAGCUCAGCCCCAGACAGAGGGAACGCAGGGGGUGUGGUGCCAGGGCGGCAGGACGGUGGGUUGGGAAAGGGGUGAUCCCAGGGCCUUAUCUUUGAGAGCAGAUGUGUUCUCUUAAACGAGAGGAGGGGUUGAGGCCAGGUUUAUGUCCUUCGAGAACUGGGAGGAGAGAUGAUCCAGAUUCGGGGUGCUCCUGAGUGCAGCGCAGUGCCCCAGGCCCUGUGAUGAGGAUGAUGAUAAUGAUGAGGGGCGGCCACUGUUUGUGGCUGUCCUGUUAGGUGCCACAUGCCGGGCUAGGUGCCCCUGCACCUUGUCCCCGGUCCUCGCGGCCCCGAUGGAGACUGGGGCUCCUUGAGGCGCCAGGACCCAGCUGAGGCUCGGGCCGGGGUCGUGCUCCUCCCACUGCACAGCUCUGCCGUGCGUGAGGAGGAGGGACCCCCUCGUCCAGGUGCAAGGACAAGGGGUAGGUGCACUCAGGUCCCCUGCAAUCAUGUGCUGUCUCUCUAUCCCUCGGCGCCUCCUUCUCAGCUAUAGAGCGGGGUGACGAAGCGCUGCCUUACUGGGUUAUGUGAGGAUCGAAUCCUGUGAUGUGUUGAUUGUGCCCACCCCAGUGCCUGGCAUGGAGACGGUGCGUGCGCCCUGGUACCAGUUGUUCCUGCUCUGGUUCCUGGUUUCUCUAGGCCCGGGUCAGGGUCGGGGGGUGUCUGUUGAUGGUGGAGAGCAGUGGGGCAGGAAGGGGUCAGAGGAGAGUGGCGCCCAAAGGGGUCGGGAGGAGACAGCUGCCAGGACCAUGUGCGAUCACAGGGCGCCCCCAGCGCUGAGCUGAGGUCGGAUACCAAGGGUUUGUGCUCAGCAGCCCCAGGGUGGCAAAGCCCAGGAUGUCCCUGUCUGUGCUGGGAGAGGGGUAGAGCCAGCUCACUGAGUCGUCCAGCCGAGGGGCCCCUCGCCAUCUGUGCUCUCCUGGGGCUCAGUGACCUCCGAUGUAGAACUGACCACAGGCUGUCCUGGCCAUGCCUUUCUCUAGCUAUCCCCGCCCUCCUCUCUGAGGUCCCCAACGACUCCACGUGAUGAACACGUCAUCCUGACCGCCGGCCCCUUCCUUUGUGCCCGUCAGCUGACCGUGUAGUGACAGAGGAGGAGGAGCCAAGGCUCUCUGUUCCCCCACUGUCCAGGCCUGGUGAGGCCCAAGGCGCUCUGGGGAGAUGAAGUUUGGCUGCCUCUCCUUCCGGCAGCCUUAUGCAGGUUUUGUCUUAAACGGGGUCAAGACCCUGGAGACGCGUUGGCGUCCUCUGCUGAGCAGCCACCGGAACCGUACCAUCGCCAUCCACGUUGCUCACAGGGACUGGGAAGACACCGCAUGGAGGGAGCUGCUGGCGGAGAGGCUUGGAAUGACCCCUGCUCAGAUUCAGGCCUUGCUUCUGGAAGGGGAAAAGUAUGGCCGUGGCGUGAUUGCUGGCAAGUGAUGAGAAGCCGCAUGCUGCUGAGACACCCCCGAGGGCUACUCCCCAGGACCUUGCUCAGGAGUUUUGUGCCUUGUUCCCUUGUGCGGGCCUUGGUUUCUGGAAGGAAAAACCAUCGUGUGCUUCUCUUUGUGCUCAGGGCUUGUUGACAUUGGGGAAACCGUGCAGUGCCCAGAGGACUUAGCUCCUGAUGAGGUUGUGGCGCUGGAGAAUCAAGCUGUACUGACCAGCCUGAAGCAGAAGUACCUCACCGUG
Molecule: RNA transcript, 2850 nt
Organism: Leopardus geoffroyi (Geoffroy's cat)
Lineage: Eukaryota; Metazoa; Chordata; Mammalia; Carnivora; Felidae
Gene: EOLA1
Gene name: endothelium and lymphocyte associated ASCH domain 1
Exons: 3
Source: RefSeq, a predicted model, not a curated record